This is a long non-coding RNA of Lolium perenne, 1282 nucleotides long. RefSeq lists it as uncharacterized. The record is from RefSeq and is a predicted model, not a curated record. Lineage: Eukaryota; Viridiplantae; Streptophyta; Magnoliopsida; Poales; Poaceae.
UUGACCGAGCGUGAGGGAGAGCAAAUCCCCAACGCCUCUCCCCGCAAUGGCCUCGGUUCACGACCCAGAUCCUGCUCUCCUCUUUCCGCCCCUCGCCCGCCCCAUCAAGAGGCCUCCAUGGCCGCGGGGAGCUCCCGGAUGGGUCGGACGCCGGCCAUCAUCUCCGCCGUAGCGUUGGGUGGCGCGCCUCUCGGCGGCACGGAGGCCUGCGGCAGCCUCAGGGCGGGACGGCGGCAUCCGGCAGCAUCAGGGCAGGGCAAGCGCGGGUCGGGGACGCCGUGGCGGGGCAGGCGGGGGCCGAUGGAGGCGACGUCGGGCCGGAGCAGGCGCAUCCCGGACUGUCGAGGCUCUGCCUUUUCCUCUCCUCUCUUUUACUUCUCUGGCUGUUCUGUCUCUCUUCUCUCAGCAGCGGAUGGGAGGAUGCGGAGCUUUCACAGAACGGGACCAAGGGCGCGGCCAAACCGCCGCCAUGGCCACGCCUACCUCAGCUCUUUCUCUCUCUCAGCCGUUGGCAGCAACGCUUCAAGACUUUGACCUCCGUACGCAUCAGGACUUCGACCUCCGUACGGUAGCGGUGGCAGUCACUUGAUGGGUUCUGCUUCAGCUUGCCAGCGAGGGCACCAUCAGAAUUGAAGGCCUUCUCAAUUCACUGUGGCUACUCGGAAAGCCAACUCCCAGAUUUUGUUCCGGUAGCUAGCAGCUUAUGUCUUGCAUCAGGUUGGACUUUGGACCUCCGAACGGUGUAGGUACUGCAGACGGUGAGACAAAGAUCCGAGCCGCCGAGGUUGGUCUGGCUGCGGUGUUCAUGGUUGCCGCUCUACUGCGACUAGGCAUUGUGGAUGCAGCUAUACACACAUACAACAUGGAGCAAAAGGGUCACCGUCAUUGGGGUGCCGAAAUCUUUGAUUUAGGGCAGCUUGAUUCUUUAUGCAGGCAUGGUCUGUUCAGCCCUCAUGAAGGUGUACAGAGUGACAUGUGGGUAGGAAGGGUGCCAACAAGUUCAAGAAAUGAUGGCAAGAACAGAUCAAGCUCACAAGCAUAGACUAGAUCAUAAUUGUACACAUUCUUUCCUUCUAGACAACAGCUCAUGAGAAAAAGAAGUCAUCAGCUUCCAAGGACUUACUUUCAGCUAAGUAGAACAGCUCACGCCCCAAGCUUGGUGAUUCUUCAGUACACAUUAGCUAAGCAGACAGACUAUCAGUUCUUUCAGUAAAGAUACCCUCCUAUUUGCCACGGUCAUUAUGAUGUUGUUUUAUAGACUGCUAUCUAUCUUUCUUCCUUA